Molecule: ribosomal RNA, 719 nt
Filed under: uncultured Bacteroidales bacterium
Lineage: Bacteria; Pseudomonadati; Bacteroidota; Bacteroidia; Bacteroidales
Description: bacterial SSU rRNA
Rfam family: Bacterial small subunit ribosomal RNA
Source: RNAcentral
CGAGGGGCAGCGGGGGUAGCAAUACCCGCCGGCGACCGGCGCACGGGUGAGUAACGCGUAUGCAACUUACCUAUCAGAGGGGGAUAACCCGGCGAAAGUCGGACUAAUACCGCAUGAAGCAGGGGCCCCGCAUGGGGAUAUUUGCUAAAGAUUCAUCGCUGAUAGAUAGGCAUGCGUUCCAUUAGGCAGUUGGCGGGGUAACGGCCCACCAAACCGACGAUGGAUAGGGGUUCUGAGGGGAAGGUCCCCCACAUUGGUACUGAGACACGGACCAAACUCCUACGGGAGGCAGCAGUGAGGAAUAUUGGUCAAUGGGCGCGAGCCUGAACCAGCCAAGUCGCGUGAGGGAUGAAGGUUCUAUGGAUCGUAAACCUCUUUUAUAAGGGAAUAAAGUGCGGGACGUGUCCUGUUUUGUAUGUACCUUAUGAAUAAGGAUCGGCUAACUCCGUGCCAGCAGCCGCGGUAAUACGGAGGAUCCGAGCGUUAUCCGGAUUUAUUGGGUUUAAAGGGUGCGUAGGCGGCCUUUUAAGUCAGCGGUGAAAGUCUGUGGCUCAACCAUAGAAUUGCCGUUGAAACUGGGGGGCUUGAGUAUGUUUGAGGCAGGCGGAAUGCGUGGUGUAGCGGUGAAAUGCUUAGAUAUCACGCAGAACCCCGAUUGCGAAGGCAGCCUGCCAAGCCAUGACUGACGCUGAUGCACGAAAGCGUGGGGAUCAAACAGG